Molecule: long non-coding RNA, 841 nt
Organism: Coturnix japonica (Japanese quail)
Lineage: Eukaryota; Metazoa; Chordata; Aves; Galliformes; Phasianidae
Source: RefSeq, a predicted model, not a curated record
GUCCGCUCCGAGCCUCGCUGCCUUCCUCAGCGCGUCCUGCGCGGGCACCACAUCAACAAUUUGCGGAGUUCUUCUGCGCGGCCGCGCGGGUGGCGUUCCAGCUUGGAGGUUCGGAAUGAUGCGCUCAACGUGGUGUCAUCCUAGUGGAAACAGCAUCAAAAAAAAAAAAAAAAAGGCUUCAGGACACCGCUGAAUCGACCACUUCUGGCAAAGCUCUCCUGCUCCAAAAGACAAAUAAACGCAAAAAUGAUUACCGCGGAGGUGUUCCCGGGCACAGGAGAGCGGGGCGCGGGCCCGUGGCGUCUCGCGGAAUGGACGGCGGCGCGCGGAGCCCGGCCCUCCCUCCCCGAGGAGCGCGCCCUUCCCGGGAGCCGGGCCCCGCACCGCGGGAGCCGCGCUGUCAGCGCUGACGCGCACAGGGGCGGAGCAAGAGCCAUAUAUGGCCCGCACGGCCCGGCCCCGCAUCCGCGCCUCCGCCGCUGCAGCCGCCGCCGCCGCGCUCCUGCCGGCCCCUGCCGGCCCAGGCUGCUGGUGGAGGUGGGGUGAAGAGGGGGGGGCUGAAGGGGGGGGGUGGAGGCGCGUGGUGAAGAGUCGGAAGGAGAUAAUUAAAGAGGGAGAUGAUGAGGGUUGGGGAAGGAAUGGGGAAGUGUGGGGAGAGAGGAGGAGAAAAGGAAUAAAAAAUUAAAAUUGGAAAUUAUUAAAAAAAAAAAAAGAAAAAAUGGUCCGAAGAAAGAAUGGAUAAGAGGAAAGUGAAAUGAAGCUUGAGAAGUUUAAAGAGGAAUGGUUAAAAAUAAUAAGAAAUAAAAGGAAAAAGAAUUUUAAAAUAUAUAUUAAAAAAAAA